This 357-nucleotide unclassified non-coding RNA is filed under the name soil metagenome. RNAcentral's name for it is "partial contains 5.8S ribosomal RNA, internal transcribed spacer 2, and large subunit ribosomal RNA". The stretch from base 1 to 119 matches the Rfam family "5.8S ribosomal RNA", at positions 35 to 154 of the family's 154-position model. The record is from RNAcentral.
GAUGAAGAACGCAGCGAAAUGCGAUACGUAAUGUGAAUUGCAAAUUCAGUGAAUCAUCGAAUCUUUGAACGCACAUUGCGCCCGUCAGUAUUCUGGCGGGCAUGCCUGUUCGAGCGUCAUUACGCCCCUCAAGUCCCCUGUGGACUUGGUGUUGGGGAUCGGCGAGGCUGGUUUUCCAGCACAGCCGUCCCUUAAAUUAAUUGGCGGUCUCGCCGUGGCCCUCCUCUGCGCAGUAGUAAAACACUCGCAACAGGAGCCCGGCGCGGUCCACUGCCGUAAAACCCCCCAACUUUUUAUAGUUGACCUCGAAUCAGGUAGGACUACCCGCUGAACUUAAGCAUAUCAAUAAGCGGAGGA